Molecule: RNase P RNA, 316 nt
Filed under: Betaproteobacteria bacterium
Lineage: Bacteria; Pseudomonadati; Pseudomonadota; Betaproteobacteria
Description: RNase P RNA component class A
Rfam family: Bacterial RNase P class A
About the family: Ribonuclease P (RNase P) is a ubiquitous endoribonuclease, found in archaea, bacteria and eukarya as well as chloroplasts and mitochondria. Its best characterised activity is the generation of mature 5'-ends of tRNAs by cleaving the 5'-leader elements of precursor-tRNAs. Cellular RNase Ps are ribonucleoproteins.
Source: RNAcentral
GAAGCUGGCCAGACAGUCGCUGGCAAAUGUUUCAGCUGCCAGAGGAAAGUCCGGGCUCCACAGAGCAGGGUGCUGGGUAACGCCCAGGCGCCGCGAGGCGACGAAGAGGGCCACAGAGACGAGUCGUGACGAGUAAGUCGAUAAGACUGCGCGUUGCGGGUGAAACGAGGCAACCUCCACCCGGAGCAACAUCAAAUAGGCGGACGACGACGUGGCUCGCCGAGUCCGCGGGUAGAUGGCUCGAGCCUCGGGGCAACCCGGGGCCUAGAGGAAUGACUGUCCAAGACAGAACCCGGCUUAUCGGCCAGCUUCACUU